Neogale vison (American mink) is the source of this 383-nucleotide long non-coding RNA. RefSeq lists it as uncharacterized. The transcript has 3 exons. The record is from RefSeq and is a predicted model, not a curated record. Lineage: Eukaryota; Metazoa; Chordata; Mammalia; Carnivora; Mustelidae.
GCUUGGAUUCACAACCCUGAGGUUAACAUAACUUGAUGAUGAGACGUGCAAUCCAGAGAGGGCCCUCAACAGCUCCAAGCUUGGCGAGUAAACAGGUGCCGGUUCCCAAGGGCCAACUGGACUCACUGCUUUCUCACUGACCCUGGAAUUGAAGGGAGUCCGUGCUCAGCGAAGUGAUGGAACAAAGGGACAGAAGAAAACAUACUGCAAAUACAGCAGUCAGAAGCAAGCUGGUGUACGAAAAUGAACAUCAGACAAGGUGGACUUUGAGAUGAAGAAUUUGAUAGCAACAGGUGGAUUUAUGCACAGUAAUGAAGAGUCUACCAAAAAGAUGUGACGACUAUGAGCUUGUAUGUCCUUAUUGCCUAUUUAGGAAUCUUGCA